This 31-nucleotide non-coding RNA is filed under the name Rattus norvegicus (Norway rat). The record is from RNAcentral. Lineage: Eukaryota; Metazoa; Chordata; Mammalia; Rodentia; Muridae.
ACAAGCUUUAUGAGGCUCAUGUGUCCUGAUC